RNAcentral lists this ribosomal RNA (472 nucleotides) under uncultured bacterium. RNAcentral's name for it is "bacterial SSU rRNA". It matches the Rfam family "Bacterial small subunit ribosomal RNA", at positions 335 to 799 of the family's 1533-position model. The record is from RNAcentral.
ACUCCUACGGGAGGCAGCAGUGGGGAAUAUUGCACAAUGGGCGCAAGCCUGAUGCAGCCAUGCCGCGUGUGUGAAGAAGGCCUUCGGGUUGUAAAGCACUUUCAGUCGUGAGGAAGGUAGUGUAGUUAAUAGCUGCAUUAUUUGACGUUAGCGACAGAAGAAGCACCGGCUAACUCCGUGCCAGCAGCCGCGGUAAUACGGAGGGUGCGAGCGUUAAUCGGAAUUACUGGGCGUAAAGCGCAUGCAGGUGGUUUGUUAAGUCAGAUGUGAAAGCCCGGGGCUCAACCUCGGAAUUGCAUUUGAAACUGGCAGACUAGAGUACUGGUAGAGGGGGGUAGAAUUUCAGGUGUAGCGGUGAAAUGCGUAGAGAUCUGAAGGAAUACCGGUGGCGAAGGCGGCCCCUGGACAGAUAUUGACACUCAGAUGCGAAAGCGUGGGGAGCAAACAGGAUUAGAUACCCUGGUAGAUAGCG